RNAcentral lists this small RNA (29 nucleotides) under Bombyx mori (domestic silkworm). Its description in RNAcentral is "ovarian small RNA-11721". Lineage: Eukaryota; Metazoa; Arthropoda; Insecta; Lepidoptera; Bombycidae. The record is from RNAcentral.
ACUUCAGUUCAGGGACAAUCAGAAACGGA